AUGAAUGCGUCAAUUCACAGUCAUGAUGGCAAAACCGAAGAACAGGUUGAGAGGAUGGUCGGAGCCAUGGGAGAGAAAGGCGGUCAGAAUCACAACACAAAUCAGACCACAGUGCAGCCUGAGACAUCAGAAAGAAUCUCUACUGCUCUCGCUUCUCUGUCGCCGCCUCCAGAGUCAAAGCCCCAGGGGAAACAGCCAACUGGCCCCAGUUCCCAUGAAGUGAGGAGGAGCUGGUGUCUGAGCUGAGUCCUAACCGGUCGAGAGGUUUUUCCAUCAGACCUGUCUGUGCUUUUCAAACCGUGCUCUUAAAGUCCCACAUUUUCAAGAUGAGCUGUGGGGUCUUCCAUGAAGCCGGGAAGAAGAAGUUGAGCAGGUGGGCCAUCGUUCAUGUAUAUCUUGAAUUUCCUUAUAAGAAAUGUUCUCAAAGACGGGAACUCCCACACACACAGGUGCUGGACUCAAACAGGUCUAAAUUUCAGCUCUGCACUGACUAAGUAAGUAUAUGGGCAAGUUGUGUAAUCUCUAUGGAUCUAUUUUCUCAUCAGUUAGAAUGAAGAUGGUAAUAAGAGCUUCAGAGUACUAUUUCAUAGAACAUCAAAGCAUAGUGAGGAGCUGGUGAGAUAAGAUAUGUGGAAAGUAUGUGGCACAUAGUGGGAGCUUAGCAAAAGUUUCUUUUCAAACUUUUCUCCUUCCUUCCUUCCUUCCCUCCUUCCUCUUUCCCUCUCUUCUAACCCCACUUUGAGGGCAGCUGGUGCUGAUCUGGAUGUGAACAGAGGAUGGUCCACAUUGUGGAAGUUUUGUCCUUCUACGUCAUUGUGCCUGCCCUUGAACCCAGAGAAGGAGUGAUGGCUCAUAAGAAGAUGCCAGCAGGAGUGGCAGUACUCCUUGAGAGAGGUGCCCUCACUUUCCCCAGUGGAUGAACCUGGGAUGACUUUGGCUGCCACCUAGGACCUGUAAUCCUGGGACCAUGGAAUGCAGGCUCUCACAUCAAGCCUGAAGUUGGGAAUCAGAAGCAAUGCUCCUCUUUCUUGUUCUCUGCAGAGCAGACUCAUGGCUCACACCAUCCUAAGUGUGAAGUGGGGAUCUGUAUCUAGUGUAGUCAGAAGCUUUUAGCGACAGGUUCAAGGCACAGGACUCAAAUUGGUUUAAGCAUAGAGAAAGCUCCACAGCCUCAAAUCUGAAUGGCUUCAGAAUCUGUCUCUCCAUCUCUGCUCUACUUUUGCAGGUGUUCCUAGCAUGGCAAGGUAGUAACUAACAGUUCCAGGAUUAUUUUCUACCAGGUUAAUAACCACAGCAAAAAGACAGCACCCCUUUCCUACGGGAGCCAGCAAGAUUUCCAGAACUGUGUCUGUCAGUCUGGUUGAGUCAUCCAUCCAUCCCUGAACCCAUCAUUAUGGGCAGUCAUCUGAUUGGCCAGGCCUCCUCCGGGAAGGGGAGGUGGAUCGAGGAGGAGGAAGAAAUGGUCCCAAAGAUAAAUCUGGGGGCUGGCAUCAAAAGAAGGAAUCAAAGUAAGCAAAAACAAUAGGCAUUUACUCUAGGCUCAGUACUUUUAUGCCUUUUAAAUUAAAAUAUCAAGACUUUACAAGGAAAGGCCAUGUUACAACCUGGGAAAUAGGUAUAAGGUCUUCUCAGGCUCAGGGGAAAUCUAAUGAUUAACUAGUUUGCUUCUCAGUAAUAAAAAGAAUAAAUUGAAGGUAAGUUUUUUAUUC
RNAcentral lists this long non-coding RNA (1709 nucleotides) under Sus scrofa (pig). Its description in RNAcentral is "lncRNA (ENSSSCG00070020139.1)". Lineage: Eukaryota; Metazoa; Chordata; Mammalia; Artiodactyla; Suidae. The record is from RNAcentral.